UACGAAGGGGGCUAGCGUUGCUCGGAAUCACUGGGCGUAAAGGGUGCGUAGGCGGGUCUUUAAGUCAGGGGUGAAAUCCUGGAGCUCAACUCCAGAACUGCCUUUGAUACUGAAGAUCUUGAGUUCGGGAGAGGUGAGUGGAACUGCGAGUGUAGAGGUGAAAUUCGUAGAUAUUCGCAAGAACACCAGUGGCGAAGGCGGCUCACUGGCCCGAUACUGAC
Molecule: ribosomal RNA, 221 nt
Filed under: uncultured bacterium
Lineage: Bacteria
Description: partial 16S ribosomal RNA
Rfam family: Bacterial small subunit ribosomal RNA
Source: RNAcentral